UCGCCUGUUUUAUCAAAAACAUCGCCUCUUGCUAAACCGAAAGUAUAAGAGGUCCCGCCUGCCCUGUGACUAUAUGUUUAACGGCCGCGGUAUUUUGACCGUGCGAAGGUAGCGCAAUCACUUGUCUUUUAAAUGGGGACCUGUAUGAAUGGCAUAACGAGGGCUUAACUGUCUCCUCUUUCAAGUCAAUGAAAUUGAUCUCCCCGUGCAGAAGCGAGGAUAAAUACAUAAGACGAGAAGACCCUAUGGAGCUUUAGACACUAAAGCAGAUCAGUAUUAAUACCCUGAACAUAGACUACGAAUAAACUGACCCCUGCCCUAAUGUCUUUGGUUGGGGCGACCGCGGAGAAAAAUAAAACCCCCGCAAGGACUAAAUGUACUACAUUCACAAACAAGAGCGACAGCUCUAACUAACAGAACUUCUGACCAAUAAGAUCCGGCAAUGCCGAUCAAUGAACCGAGUUACCCUAGGGAUAACAGCGCAAUCUCCUCUUAGAGCCCAUAUCGACGAGGAGGUUUACGACCUCGAUGUUGGAUCAGGACAUCCUAAUGGUGCAGCCGCUAUUAAGGGUUCGUUUGUUCAACGAUUAAAGUCCUACGUGAUCUGAGUUCAGACCGGA
RNAcentral lists this ribosomal RNA (620 nucleotides) under Epinephelus hexagonatus (starspotted grouper). RNAcentral describes it as "partial 16S ribosomal RNA". It matches the Rfam family "Bacterial large subunit ribosomal RNA", at positions 1796 to 2620 of the family's 2925-position model. Lineage: Eukaryota; Metazoa; Chordata; Actinopteri; Perciformes; Serranidae. The record is from RNAcentral.